AUACAAGCUGUAAAACAUAACACUUAUCACGCCUCUUGUAAUUCAAUCAUUGUACAACAUAUCUUUUUCUCAUUUACCAGCCUACUAGUAUCCGUGGGGGUCCAUAGGGGUUCCGCUACCCGUUAACCUUUAACAUUCAUAAUCAGUUUCCAGGGCCGUCCCCAUACCCCGUCCGGUAUGGGCGCCAAAACCAUGAACUUCAAUACCCCGUCCGGUAUGAGGGUGAAACGGGCCGUCCCCAUACCCCGUCCGGUAUGGGCGCCAAAACCAUAAACCUCAAUACCCCGUCCGGUAUGAGGGUGAAACGGGCCGUCCCCAUACCCCGUCCGGUAUGGGCGCCAAAGCCAUAAGAUCUCCAUACCCCGUCCGGCAUGUGAGACCACAAUCCCGGUAGGGUUCCCUACGGACCUGGUCCGUCCACCAUCUCCCAGGAUAUCUAGUCAGGCUGACCCCCAUAAUACAAUUAUCAGUCUACACAAUCUUUCAUUUUCCCUUUCCUCAGUCAGCAUCAUCAAUUCACAUACAAACAAGCAAAACAGUAAUUCAUGCCCAACAGACAACAUACAGUAUCAGUUUUUCAGUCAUUCAACCCAUGAUUAAUAAAAACGUAGUAUAUGCACACAAAUCUGUAAAAUGAACACAUCAAACCUCAUUUUGCAUUUAAAGCU
This 668-nucleotide long non-coding RNA is filed under the name Carica papaya (papaya). RNAcentral's name for it is "long non-coding RNA (CPAP_LNC016053)". Lineage: Eukaryota; Viridiplantae; Streptophyta; Magnoliopsida; Brassicales; Caricaceae. The record is from RNAcentral.